AACUACCAUCUGAAUGCCAAAAGUAGAACUCUGGUACUAUUCUCUUUGUUCAAAAAAAAUCUUGCAGUCCUUCCAUGUUUCUAAGCUUUUAAUCCAAAUUUCUCUUUGUUUUGUACUGUAUGGCGACCCUGAACAGUAGGCAGUACCUCAGUUGUGUGGAGUCCUUGCUCAACUCCAAGGCGCUACAGAUCUCUACACUGGAACCGAUAAACUGGGAUACUUGGAGCCCUACAUGCUGGCUGCCACAUCCCCCAACAGAAAUUAGCUUGCACUGAGAAUAGAUUAAUGGCUGCAAUGGGCAGCAGUAGAUUGGCUCGGUCUGAACUAAGAGUUUUGGCUGAGAUAUUAUAUGGAUGGGCAGUAUCUACGGCCAUCUAAUCCAAGCUAAGAGCAAGUGCUGGAUUCCCUCGCAAUGGUUGCGAAACACACACACACUAGCGGCGGUCAUGGGAUGAUGGUCUAAAAGCCGACAAAAGUAAUUCUUAUUCA
Molecule: long non-coding RNA, 489 nt
Organism: Lolium rigidum
Lineage: Eukaryota; Viridiplantae; Streptophyta; Magnoliopsida; Poales; Poaceae
Exons: 3
Source: RefSeq, a predicted model, not a curated record